Molecule: ribosomal RNA, 1671 nt
Filed under: Triticum aestivum (bread wheat)
Lineage: Eukaryota; Viridiplantae; Streptophyta; Magnoliopsida; Poales; Poaceae
Description: partial small subunit ribosomal RNA
Source: RNAcentral
AUGCGCCGGAAGCUGGCGCUCCUCGCCGCCGCCGCCGGUGGCGGCGGCGCGCUCCCUCUCUCGUGCGCGAAGCAGUUCCACGCGCGCCUUAUCGUCGCCUCCCCUUGCAUCCCCGACGACCUCCGCCUCCGUCUCCUUCGAUCCUACGCUGCGCACGGCGAGUUCGCGUCGGCGCACCGCCUGCUCGACGAAGCACCCCGCCCGGCCUCGCCGCUCCUCUACAACGCUGUCAUACGCGCCCACUCGCGCCGCCUAGACCUUCCCACUGCUCUCGCGUUAUUCGCCAGCAUGCGACGCUCCGCCACCCCGCCCGACGCCCACACCUUCGCCUGCGUCCUCCGCGCAUGCGCCGACUGUGAUCGGCCGGGCGGCGCCAAGACCCUCCAUGGUAUUGCGUCAACUUCCGGCUGGUCCUCCCACCCAAUCGUCGGCAGUGCGCUCGUUAGCGCAUAUUCAAAGUUCUUGCUCGUGGAGAGUGCUCGCCAUGUGUUUGAUGGUUUGCGUGAGCCGGACCUGGUUCUCUGGAACUCAAUGAUGUCCGGGUAUGGGUACAGGGAAAUGUGGCUUGAGGGGCUUCAACUGUUUUCUGCGAUGCGUAGGGCUGGGGAGGAACCAGACGGCUACUCGAUGGUCAGCUUGCUCUCAUCCUUCUGGGAUCCAGAAGCGCUUGCUUUUGGUCAAGCAGUCCAUGGAGUGUGUAUCAAGGGCGGUUACGAUUCUGGCCACCAUGUGAGAAGCACACUUGUUAGCAUGUACUUCAGGUGCGGCUGCGUGGAAUCGGGCCAAACCUUGUUUGGUAGUUUGCUGGAUGCGGACUUGGUUACAUGUUCUUCACUCAUUACAGGGCAAUUGCAGACUGGCAAGUAUGAUGAGUCAUUUGAUUUGUUCAGAGAAAUGUGCUACUUUGGCAGGAGGCCUGACAGCAUCUUGAUUGCUAGUCUUCUUUCGGCAUGUGCUUCUACAGCCACUAUCAGCUACAGCAAGGAGAUCCACUGUUAUGCAGUCAGGGUUGGUGCUGAUAAAGACAUGAAAGUCUCAUCUUCACUAAUGGAUGCUUAUGCAAAAUGUGGUUUUGCUGAGCUGGGAUAUUUGGUAUUCCGCCAAAUUCCUAACAAGAACUCAGUCAUGUACAAUAUGGUCAUAUCAAACCUUGGUUCUCACGGAUUUGCGAUGAAGGCCAUUGAAGUCCUUGAUGAGAUGGUCCGUGAUAAGCUCAGGCCUGAUGGUGCUACCUUCUCAGCUUUACUUGCUGCUUGUUGUCAUGCAGGACUCCUAGACGAGGGAUGGAAGUUGUUUAGGAGAAUGGGGGAUGAGUUCCACAUAGUGGUUGAAAUGCAGCAUUAUGUCUACAUGGUGAGGCUUCUUGCAACGUUUAACCAGCUGAAGGAGGCCUAUGAUCUUAUACAGACAAUGCCAAUGCCACCAGAUUGUGGCGUGUGGGGUGCAUUACUUUGGGGGUGUUGUCUCCACCGGGAUUCCAGCCUUGGUAGGGCAGUUGCUGAAAAGCUCUGUGAGUUGUAUCCAGACAAGGCUUCUUACAAGAUUAUGCUUUCAAACUUGUAUGCAUCAGAGGAGAUGUGGUGGGAUGCUGAGGAGGUCAGGACCGAGAUGUUGAAAGAAGAUAUGCACAAGAACACAGGGAUAAGUUGGGUUGGGGAUACAAGGAAAUGA